This 270-nucleotide ribosomal RNA is filed under the name uncultured bacterium. Its description in RNAcentral is "partial 16S ribosomal RNA". It matches the Rfam family "Bacterial small subunit ribosomal RNA", at positions 524 to 794 of the family's 1533-position model. The record is from RNAcentral.
UACGUAGGGGCGAAGCGUUAUCCGGAAUCACUGGGCGUAAAGGGUGCGUAGGCGGCCUAUCAAGUCAGGGGUGAAAGGCAUUGGCUCAACCAAUGUAAGCCUUUGAAACUGUUAGGCUUGAGUGCAGGAGAGGUAAGUGGAAUUCCUAGUGUAGAGGUGAAAUUCGUAGAUAUUAGGAGGAACACCAGUGGCGAAGGCGACUUACUGGACUGUAACUGACGCUGAGGCACGAAAGCGUGGGGAGCGAACAGGAUUAGAUACCCGUGUAGU